CGCGGCAAACACACGUGGCUAGCUAGAUAGCGUUAGCUCUUCUGAGAUAUAUAUAUAUAUUUUUUUUUUACAAAUGGCAACUGUACAUACAUCUAUAUGGAGGUUGAAACGCUUUGGACGUUUUUUGCCUGGGACCAAAGAAGACGGCGGUAAUCCAUGGAAGAUGUUUGAGCCCAGUGAAAGUGCGGGUGAAUUGGUGCUCACCAUUGUGGAAUCCGGUCAUAUGCUGGUGUCCCAAGGCCACUGUCUUCUGUGCAUUUUUCAGGAUGGGUUUUCCUUGCUUGAUGCUCCAAGCUUCCUCAAAGUUCAGCAGAAAUCAGAUACCCUGCUGUUCCGUCUAACUGUUAAGGGGGAGAGCCGUCUGAUGAGGAUGCAGUUCAGUGGUAGCAGCAGGGCUGAGGCUCUGGAGGAGUGUGGCAGUGCAGUACUCAGACUGAAGGAGUACCUGCCUGUCACCACACAGGGGGGGCCCCCACCACCACCACUCAGCUGCCCCCCAACAUCCAAUCAGCCCCCUACCAAGACCACUGCACAGGAUCAACAGGCGGGUGCUGGGGAGGCUAUGGCUACUGAACCCGAGGUCGUCCAGGGCUCUUUAUCCAUCAAACGUCUUACCCAGCACUUCCUGGGCGAGUAUGGUCUGUCCUUGCCCCUGGUGUACCGCCACAGUGCUCUGUCCCGUGGGGAGCUGGAGCCCUUCCUCCGCCUGUGUCUCUUGGACCCCAGCUUCCCUGCCUUGGUGGAGGAGGUGGAGGGGGAGCUGAAGAGAGUGCUCCAGGACUGAGGAGCUGAAGCUCAUCAACACAAACAGCCAGAGGGAGACAGGUCAACUCACUACACACGAUAAACCCUUGCCAAACUAGAGGCCUUGCCUACAGGUGCAGGAGAUUGGUUGGUGUUUGUCAAAGCACUACACUGUCUUCACACUGUACACAAAGCCAAUGCUUACUUUAUUGGUGAAUUUGCAUAAUUUCUGUUUAGUAGUGUAACAAAUUUACUGACAUAUUUAACGCUGAUACCAUAAUGGGGAGGAUUAUACAGUGCAUACACAAUUCAGACUUCAGAAAUAGAAGUAUGCAUCAUUUAUCUUUUUCAUCUACCCUGUCUUUUCUUUUCAGAUAGCAUCUACAGGAUAUCAAUGCCUUGGGGAACCUAGAGUGCAUACUAUCUCUCCUCGUGUGUGUGUGUGGCGGUUUAAGUGAUUUAACACUCCUAUAGAAGACAAGUGAAGAAGACUUGUAUAAAAUGUAUACAGUUAUAAACAAGACGUAGCAGUGCAUUUCAGUAGGCUGAUAGCAAUAUGUUUUAAACAUCAGAGACCACCACCUAUACAGGAGAAAACAUGUCAAACUGCGUUGGCCCCUCUAAAUUGAAAUGAAUACGAAUGGAGUAAAUACAUCAUUUCAACAUAUAUAUUGUCUAUACAAAGACACCAAACAACUUGUAGUCCAAUAAUCGGAUAAACGGGUGUUGACAUCGUGGUCUGGAUGGACUGUAGUAGAAACGGAUCAAAUAAAAAAUCAUUCUCUGAAAACAUGCAAGAUCUCUCACUUACCAACCAUUUAGAUAAUGAUGCCAUUUGGAGAGAGGGGGAAAGAAGUCAUAGUAACCAAUUAAUUCAUAUCUUGCUGAUAUCCUGAAUAAAGUUGAUAGAACCAUAGGCGGGUGAAGCCUCAACGGCCUUUUUGGCUUUGACUCUACACUCAAAUGAUUUUGUUUGACUCUAGACUCAAAUGAUUAAGCCUUUGUUUGACUUUGACACUUAAAUCUAGGUUUAACCGUUUAUAUUAACAGUUUAUAUUAUUGUAUGUUAUUGAGUAGUUCUGUUAUUAGACUGUUUGAAAAUGAACAGAUAUUACUCUGUAAAAGUAGUAACUAGUUAGUAGUUACCAACGUAGGCUUCUUUGAGAAUAACUUACCUGUGGGUGUGACAGGCUUUGAUUGGAGUAGGGUAACAGGGAUUUUAGAUUCUCUACGUUAAGCCCUCAGCCAUAGGCAGAACUUGUAGGGCAAAGCCAAAAUAACACAUCAAACUUCCCCUGAUUCCCUGUCUCAAGUUAUUGUCAAUGAAAUGAAUUCAUCAGUUCUCCAGAUGGGUGAUAAAAUGGUCCCUGGUUAUCAUCAUUAGCGAGACCGCAACGGUACUUCAACUCUUUCAUUUAAAAGGUUAGCUGUGGACCCCCUCCUGGUUUCCUAAUGUGGAGCAUCUCUAAAGGUCAUAUUAUCAUGCAGCUAAUGUGUGGCGCUGCGCUGUGUGGCAGGCAGCGGUGUCUCUGUCUCCCUUCUCAGUACUGACGGAGCGUCCAGGGAGCGUGUCCCCCGACAGAGGUCAAUUAUUCACAGUGGGUCUCCACUGCUACUGCUAACACAGCAGAGUCAGCGUCAUUAAUAUUCAGCACCGUGUCUAUAGCCUCCGCAACAUGUUCACUUGGUAACAGUGUAAUGUGUGUGGUGAUGGUAGAUGAACCCUGUUUCAAUUGGUUCUUGAUGGCUGUUGAACUUCUAGCCGAGUGCAGGCCCGUAAUCAGAUAUUUCAAUCAUUGUGAGAAUGUCUUUGUAUUGUUCCAGGAGCAGCAGCCUAUUUACUGGGUCAUAAUUCCCUCACGACGCCAGGACAGCGGAGUCACUCACCACCUUCUGGAGAAACUUGAAACCCCA
Molecule: RNA transcript, 2658 nt
Organism: Coregonus clupeaformis (lake whitefish)
Lineage: Eukaryota; Metazoa; Chordata; Actinopteri; Salmoniformes; Salmonidae
Gene name: meiotic recombination protein REC114-like
Exons: 7
Source: RefSeq, a predicted model, not a curated record